RNAcentral lists this unclassified non-coding RNA (366 nucleotides) under soil metagenome. RNAcentral's name for it is "partial contains 5.8S ribosomal RNA, internal transcribed spacer 2, and large subunit ribosomal RNA". The stretch from base 1 to 120 matches the Rfam family "5.8S ribosomal RNA", at positions 35 to 154 of the family's 154-position model. The record is from RNAcentral.
GAUGAAGAACGUAGCGAAAUGCGAUAAGUAGUGUGAAUUGCAGAAUUACCUGAAUCGUCGAAUCUUUGAACGCACAUUGCGCCCCCUGGUAUUCCUGGGGGCAUGCCUGUUCGAGCGUCAUUAACAACCAAUCGGGCGGGGCUUUUGCAUGCUCCCGCUCGGCCAUGGGGGAUGGACGUCGUCGGACGCCCACCCCCGAAAUGCAACGGCGGACGGCCACCCGUGGCACUGCGGCGUAGUAAGUUAACCCUUCGCGCGCGCCCACGGAGUGGACUGCCCGGCCGCUUGAACCCCCACACAUCCUACGGUUGACCUCGGAUCAGGUAGGGAUACCCGCUGAACUUAAGCAUAUCAAUAAGCGGAGGA